This 1054-nucleotide ribosomal RNA is filed under the name Haloarcula japonica DSM 6131. Its description in RNAcentral is "bacterial SSU rRNA". It matches the Rfam family "Archaeal small subunit ribosomal RNA", at positions 437 to 1384 of the family's 1478-position model. The record is from RNAcentral. Lineage: Archaea; Methanobacteriati; Methanobacteriota; Halobacteria; Halobacteriales; Haloarculaceae.
AAGGACUGGGCAAGACCGGUGCCAGCCGCCGCGGUAAUACCGGCAGUCCAAGUGAUGGCCGAUAUUAUUGGGCCUAAAGCGUCCGUAGCCGGCCGGACAAGUCCGUUGGGAAAUCGACGCGCUCAACGCGUCGGCGUCCAGCGGAAACUGUCCGGCUUGGGGCCGGAAGACCUGAGGGGUACGUCCGGGGUAGGAGUGAAAUCCUGUAAUCCUGGACGGACCACCAAUGGGGAAACCACCUCAGGAAGACGGACCCGACGGUGAGGGACGAAAGCUAGGGUCUCGAACCGGAUUAGAUACCCGGGUAGUCCUAGCUGUAAACGAUGCUCGCUAGGUGUGCCGUAGGCUACGAGCCUGCGCUGCGCCCUAGGGAAGCCGAGAAGCGAGCCGCCUGGGAAGUACGUCUGCAAGGAUGAAACUUAAAGGAAUUGGCGGGGGAGCACCACAACCGGAGGAGCCUGCGGUUUAAUUGGACUCAACGCCGGAAAUCUCACCGGUCCCGACAGUAGUAAUGNGAUGAAACUUAAAGGAAUUGGCGGGGGAGCACCACAACCGGAGGAGCCUGCGGUUUAAUUGGACUCAACGCCGGAAAUCUCACCGGUCCCGACAGUAGUAAUGACGGUCAGGUUGACGACUUUACCCGACGCUACUGAGAGGAGGUGCAUGGCCGCCGUCAGCUCGUACCGUGAGGCGUCCUGUUAAGUCAGGCAACGAGCGAGACCCGCACUUCUAGUUGCCAGCAAUACCCUUGAGGUAGUUGGGUACACUAGGAGGACUGCCGCUGCUAAAGCGGAGGAAGGAACGGGCAACGGUAGGUCAGUAUGCCCCGAAUGGACCGGGCAACACGCGGGCUACAAUGGCUCUGACAGUGGGAUGCAACGCCGAGAGGCGAAGCUAAUCUCCAAACGGAGUCGUAGUUCGGAUUGCGGGCUGAAACCCGCCCGCAUGAAGCUGGAUUCGGUAGUAAUCGCGUGUCAGAAGCGCGCGGUGAAUACGUCCCUGCUCCUUGCACACACCGCCCGUCAAAGCACCCGAGUGGGGUCCGGAUGAGGCC